RNAcentral lists this ribosomal RNA (782 nucleotides) under uncultured bacterium. RNAcentral's name for it is "bacterial SSU rRNA". It matches the Rfam family "Bacterial small subunit ribosomal RNA", at positions 62 to 830 of the family's 1533-position model. The record is from RNAcentral.
UCGAGGGGCAGCGGUGGUGAAGGCUUGCCUUCACCAGCCGGCGACCGUUGCCCGGGUGAGUAACACGUAUGCAACCUGCCUGCCACAGCCGGAUAAUCGGGAGAAAUCCCGUCUAAUACGGCAUAAUGCAUCGACGGGACAUCCUGUUGGUGCCAAAGGUUAAUUCCGGUGGCGGAUGGGCAUGCGUCGCAUUAGUUAGUUGGCGGUGUAACGGACCACCAAGACGACGAUGCGUAGGGGUUCUGAGAGGAAGGUCCCCCACACUGGUACUGAGACACGGACCAGACUCCUACGGGAGGCAGCAGUGAGGAAUAUUGGUCAAUGGGCGGGAGCCUGAACCAGCCAAGUCGCGUGAGGGAUGACGGCCCUAUGGGUUGUAAACCUCUUUUGCCGGGGAGCAAAGUGCCGCACGUGUGCGGUUUGGAGAGUACCCGGAGAAAAAGCAUCGGCUAACUCCGUGCCAGCAGCCGCGGUAAUACGGAGGAUGCGAGCGUUAUCCGGAUUUAUUGGGUUUAAAGGGUGCGUAGGCGGACGCUUAAGUCAGCGGUAAAAUUGCGGGGCUCAACCUCGUCGAGCCGUUGAAACUGGGUGCCUUGAGUGGGCGAGAAGUACGCGGAAUGCGUGGUGUAGCGGUGAAAUGCAUAGAUAUCACGCAGAACUCCGAUUGCGAAGGCAGCGUACCGGCGCCCAACUGACGCUGAAGCACGAAGGCGUGGGUAUCGAACAGGAUUAGAUACCCUGGUAGUCCACGCAGUAAACGAUGAAUGCUAGUUGUCCGGGGC